Molecule: ribosomal RNA, 490 nt
Filed under: uncultured bacterium
Lineage: Bacteria
Description: partial 16S ribosomal RNA
Rfam family: Bacterial small subunit ribosomal RNA
Source: RNAcentral
AUUGAACGCUGGCGGCAGGCCUAACACAUGCAAGUCGAACGGUAACAGGAAGCAGCUUGCUGCUUUGCUGACGAGUGGCGGACGGGUGAGUAAUGUCUGGGAAACUGCCCGAUGGAGGGGGAUAACUACUGGAAACGGUAGCUACUACCGCAUAACGUCGCAAGACCAAAGAGGGGGACCUUAGGGCCUCUUGCCAUCGGCUGUGCCCAGAUGGGAUUAGCUAGUAGGUGGGGUAACGGCUCACCUAGGCGACGAUCCCUAGCUGGUCUGAGAGGAUGACCAGCCACACUGGAACUGAGACACGGUCCAGACUCCUACGGGAGGCAGCAGUGGGGAAUAUUGCACAAAGGGCGCAAGCCUGAUGCAGCCAUGCCGCGUGUAUGAAGAAGGCCUUCGGGUUGUAAAGUACUUUCAGCGGGGAGGAAGGGAGUAAAGUUAAUACCUUGGCGCAUUGACGUUACCCGCAGAAGAAGCACCGGCUAACUCCGUG